This 488-nucleotide ribosomal RNA is filed under the name uncultured Methylophilus sp. Its description in RNAcentral is "bacterial SSU rRNA". It matches the Rfam family "Bacterial small subunit ribosomal RNA", at positions 68 to 550 of the family's 1533-position model. Lineage: Bacteria; Pseudomonadati; Pseudomonadota; Betaproteobacteria; Nitrosomonadales; Methylophilaceae. The record is from RNAcentral.
AGCAUAGAGAGCUUGCUCUCUGAUGGCGAGUGGCGAACGGGUGAGUAAUAUAUCGGAACGUGCCUAGUAAUGGGGAAUAACUAGCUGAAAGGUUAGCUAAUGCCGCAUACGACCUACGGGUGAAAGCAGGGGAUCUUCGGACCUUGCGUUAUUAGAGCGGCCGAUAUCUGAUUAGCUUGUUGGUGGGGUAAUAGCCUACCAAGGCGACGAUCAGUAGCUGGUCUGAGAGGACGAUCAGCCACACUGGAACUGAGACACGGUCCAGACUCCUACGGGAGGCAGCAGUGGGGAAUUUUGGACAAUGGGGGCAACCCUGAUCCAGCCAUUCCGCGUGAGUGAAGAAGGCCUUCGGGUUGUAAAGCUCUUUCGCAAGAGAAGAAAACUUAUUAUCUAAUAAAUAGUAAGUAUGACGGUAUCUUGACAAGAAGCACCGGCUAACUACGUGCCAGCAGCCGCGGUAAUACGUAGGGUGCAAGCGUUAAUCGGAA